UCCCGGUUGGCCCGGGCGGUCUCGUCUGAAAAAUCCAACAGACGACAAGGGUUGCGCUCGUUGCGGGACUUAACCCAACAUCUCACGACACGAGCUGACGACGGCCAUGCAUCACCUGUCACCGCGUUCCCCUCGCAGAGCGCGAGGGAACGCACAUUAAAUGUGCGAAUCGUGCUCUCUGAGGGGCACUCGACUGUUUCCAGUCGAUUCGCGGGAUGUCAAGCCUUGGUAAGGUUCUUCGCGUAGCUUCGAAUUAAACCACAUGCUCCACCGCUUGUGCGGAGCCCCGUCAAUUCCUUUGAGUUUUAAGCUUGCGCUCGUACUCCCCAGGCGGGAUGCUUAUCGCGUUAGCUUCUCAGCCCAAGGGGUCGAUACCUCGAACUAAUAGCAUCCAUCGUUU
This 400-nucleotide unclassified non-coding RNA is filed under the name uncultured bacterium. Its description in RNAcentral is "contains 16S-23S intergenic spacer region". The record is from RNAcentral.